This 394-nucleotide ribosomal RNA is filed under the name uncultured bacterium. RNAcentral's name for it is "partial 16S ribosomal RNA". It matches the Rfam family "Bacterial small subunit ribosomal RNA", at positions 338 to 729 of the family's 1533-position model. The record is from RNAcentral.
CCUACGGGAGGCAGCAGUGAGGAAUAUUGGUCAAUGGACGAGAGUCUGAACCAGCCAAGUAGCGUGAAGGAUGACUGCCCUAUGGGUUGUAAACUUCUUUUAUCAAGGAAUAAAACGAGGCACGUGUGCCUUUUUGCAUGUACUUGAUGAAUAAGGAUCGGCUAACUCCGUGCCAGCAGCCGCGGUAAUACGGAGGAUCCGAGCGUUAUCCGGAUUUAUUGGGUUUAAAGGGUGCGGAGAUGGGUUGUUCAGUCAGUGGGGAAAGUUUGCGGCUUAACCGUCAAAUUGCAAUUGAUACUGGCAGUCUUGAGUACAGUUGAGGUAUGCGGAAUUCGUGGUGUAGCGGUGAAAUGCUUAGAUAUCACGAAGAACCCCGAUUGCGAAGGCAGCUUAC